CCCUUAGAUGUCCUGGGCCGCACGCGCGCUACACUGACAUGUUCAACAAGCCUCCUAGUUCGACAGGUUUGGGAAAUCUUUGAACGCAUGUCGUGAUAGGGAUAGAUCAUUGCAAUUAUUGAUCUUGAACGAGGAAUUCCUAGUAAACGCGAGUCAUCAGCUCGCAUUGAUUACGUCCCUGCCCUUUGUACACACCGCCCGUCGCACCUACCGAUUGAAUGUUUCGGUGAAGAUUCCGGAUAGGACUUUUUUGAUUUAUUUCAAUUCUGUCUUAAAAGCUAUCUAAACCUCAACAUUUAGAGGAAGGUGAAGUCGUAACA
This 320-nucleotide ribosomal RNA is filed under the name uncultured eukaryote. RNAcentral's name for it is "partial 18S ribosomal RNA". It matches the Rfam family "Eukaryotic small subunit ribosomal RNA", at positions 1470 to 1796 of the family's 1831-position model. The record is from RNAcentral.